UCCCGCUUAGCUCAGCUGGUAGAGCGCGUCACUAGUACGAUGCAAUCGUGUAAUGACGAGGUCAGUCGUUCAAGUCGGCUAGUGGGAA
Molecule: non-coding RNA, 88 nt
Organism: Trametes pubescens
Lineage: Eukaryota; Fungi; Basidiomycota; Agaricomycetes; Polyporales; Polyporaceae
Source: the annotation of a GenBank genome assembly